CUUGGUCAUUUAGAGGAAGUAAAAGUCGUAACAAGGUUUCCGUAGGUGAACCUGCGGAAGGAUCAUUACAGUAAAUUGCUGUAGACCUGAUGUCUUGGAUUAAAACCGUGGUAUGAAUAAGAUCUACCAUGUGGCCUGUAAUAGGCAUCCAGCAUCGCCUAACCAUGUUAACAUUAACUGAAGCGUAACCUUUGGCAGAUUUUAAUUUGCCAGAAGGAAAGCAUUAAACUCUUUUUUAAUUAAGCUAAUAAAUCAAUAUUUAUCAGUCUGAAAACAAGUUAAUUAUAUUAAAACUUUCAACAACGGAUCUCUUGGUUCUGGCAUCGAUGAAGAACGCAGCGAAAUGCGAUAAGUAGUGUGAAUUGCAGAAUUCAGUGAAUCAUCGAAUUUUUGAACGCACAUUGCGCCCCUUGGUAUCCCGAGGGGCAUGCCUGUUCGAGCGUCAUUUCAACCUCUCAAGCUUUGCUUGGUAUUGGGCAUCAUUAUCUCCUUUUUAAACAAGGGUAAAUGUGCCUUAAAUAUAGGCAGCGGCAUGUAUUAGUUCCGAGCGUAGCAGUUUUAAACAUUUUCGCUUUAGGAGUCUGGUAUAAUGUCAGCUAUAUAGUCAAAGUCUUAACUUUUUAUUUGACCUCGGAUCAGGUAGGGAUACCCGCUGAACUUAAGCAUAUCAAUAAGCGGAGGACAAGAAACCAACAGGGAUUGCCUUAGUAACGGCGAGUGAAGCGGCAAUAGCUCAAAUUUGAAAUCUGGCGUCUUUGGGCGUCCGAGUUGUAAUUUGUAGAGGAUGUUUCGGUAUUAGCUCUAAUCUAAGUUCCUUGGAACAGGACAUCGCAGAGGGUGAGAAUCCCGUACGCGAUUAGUUGCUUUUGCCAUGUGAAACUCCUUCGACGAGUCGAGUUGUUUGGGAAUGCAGCUCUAAUUGGGAGGUAAAUUUCUUCUAAAGCUAAAUAUUGGCCAGAGACCGAUAGCGCACAAGUAGAGUGAUCGAAAGAUGAAAAGCACUUUGGAAAGAGAGUUAAAAAGUACGUGAAAUUGUUGAAAGGGAAGCGCUUGCAAUCAGACCUGCUUGCAGUUGUUAAUCUAGGCCUUGUGUUUAGUGUAUUCUUCUGUAAUCAGGCCAGUAUCGGUUUAGGCGGUUGGAUAAAGAUUUUAGGAAUGUAGCUCUCUUCGGGGAGUGUUAUAGCCUGAUUUGUAAUGCAACCAGCUUAGAUCGAGGACCGCGCUUCGGCUAGGAUACUGGCGUAAUGGUUGUAAGCGGCCCGUCUUGAAACACGGACC
RNAcentral lists this ribosomal RNA (1278 nucleotides) under uncultured fungus. Its description in RNAcentral is "eukaryotic LSU rRNA". The stretch from base 626 to 1278 matches the Rfam family "Eukaryotic large subunit ribosomal RNA", at positions 1 to 667 of the family's 3401-position model. The record is from RNAcentral. Lineage: Eukaryota; Fungi.